GACGGAGGGCGCAAGCGUUGUUCGGAAUUACUGGGCGUAAAGCGCGCGCAGGCGGGAAGGUAAGUCUGGAGUGAAAUUCCGGGGCUCAACUCCGGAGCUGCUUUGGAUACUGUCUUUCUAGGGACCGGUAGAGGCCGGUGGAAUUCCCGGUGUAGCGGUGGAAUGCGUAGAGAUCGGGAGGAACACCAGUGGCGAAGGCGGUCCCCUGGGCCGGGCCUGACGCUGAGGCGCGAAAGCGUGGGGAGCGAUCCGG
RNAcentral lists this ribosomal RNA (253 nucleotides) under uncultured bacterium. Its description in RNAcentral is "partial 16S ribosomal RNA". It matches the Rfam family "Bacterial small subunit ribosomal RNA", at positions 524 to 776 of the family's 1533-position model. The record is from RNAcentral.